UGAGAUACGGGUCAAACUCCUACGGGAGGCAGCAGUGAGGAAUAUUGGUCAAUGGGCGAGAGCCUGAACCAGCCAAGUCGCGUGAAGGAAGACUGCCCGCAAGGGUUGUAAACUUCUUUUGUAUGGGAUUAAAGUCACCUACGUGUAGGUGUUUGCAGUUACCAUACGAAUAAGCAUCGGCUAACUCCGUGCCAGCAGCCGCGGUAAUACGGAGGAUGCGAGCGUUAUCCGGAAUUAUUGGGUUUAAAGGGUGCGUAGGUUGCAAGGGAAGUCAGGGGUGAAAAGCUGUAGCUCAACUAUGGUCUUGCCUUUGAAACUCUCUAGCUAGAGUGUACUGGAGGUACGUGGAACGUGUGGUGUAGCGGUGAAAUGCAUAGAUAUCACACAGAACUCCGAUUGCGCAGGCAGCGUACUACAUUACAACUGACAC
Molecule: ribosomal RNA, 430 nt
Filed under: Porphyromonas asaccharolytica
Lineage: Bacteria; Pseudomonadati; Bacteroidota; Bacteroidia; Bacteroidales; Porphyromonadaceae
Description: bacterial SSU rRNA
Rfam family: Bacterial small subunit ribosomal RNA
Source: RNAcentral